RNAcentral lists this ribosomal RNA (207 nucleotides) under uncultured bacterium. Its description in RNAcentral is "partial 16S ribosomal RNA". It matches the Rfam family "Bacterial small subunit ribosomal RNA", at positions 568 to 774 of the family's 1533-position model. The record is from RNAcentral.
CGUGCAGGCGGUUCUGUAAGUUGGAGGUUAAAUCUCUCGGCUCAACUGAGAGGCGUCCUUCAAAACUGCAGGGCUUGAGGAUGGGAGAGGGAAGUGGAAUUCCCGGUGUAGUGGUGGAAUGCGUAGAUAUCGGGAGGAACACCAGUGGCGAAGGCGGCUUCCUGGCCCAUUUCUGACGCUAAGACGCGAAAGCGUGGGGAGCGAACG